GAUAUGCCCACCUCAGGCUCCCAAAGUGCUGGGAUGACAGGCGCGAGCCACUGCACCUGGCCAAAAUAAAGCUUGACCUGAGUUGAUAUGAGGGUGAUGAGACUGAGUAAAAAGCCCAUAGGAUUCCAGCCUGUGUUCAUAAGAAGCAUUUUAAUGGAGAGACUUUUUGUGAUGCGUGUACAGAGGACAUUAUUAGUGAAAUAACAGCAAACUUGCUAUUAAUGAGAUCUGCUCAAAAUCUCUAUGAGGUAGUGAAUGCCCCAUCAUGAAGAUUUUCAUGCAGAAUUGGGAUGACCUCUGUUCUUCAGCCUGCCAG
RNAcentral lists this long non-coding RNA (316 nucleotides) under Homo sapiens (human). RNAcentral's name for it is "non-protein coding lnc-AZI2-1:1". The record is from RNAcentral. Lineage: Eukaryota; Metazoa; Chordata; Mammalia; Primates; Hominidae.